This 253-nucleotide ribosomal RNA is filed under the name uncultured bacterium. RNAcentral's name for it is "partial 16S ribosomal RNA". It matches the Rfam family "Bacterial small subunit ribosomal RNA", at positions 524 to 776 of the family's 1533-position model. The record is from RNAcentral.
UACGUAGGGGGCGAGCGUUGUCCGGAUUUAUUGGGCGUAAAGAGCGUGUAGGCGGCCAGGUAGGUCUGCUGUGAAAACUCGAGGCUCAACCUCGAGACGUCGGCGGAAACCAUCUGGCUAGAGUCCGGAAGAGGAGAGUGGAAUUCCUGGUGUAGCGGUGAAAUGCGCAGAUAUCAGGAAGAACACCCGUGGCGAAGGCAGCUCGCUGGGACGGUACUGACGCUGAGGCGCGAAAGCGUGGGGAGCGAACAGG